GCAGACCAACCCAGGCGGCCCAGCGUGUACGGGGAAGAGGGCGGGGCUAGACGCGGCCUUGAUAACUACUAGAGCGCCUCGAGCUGUGCGGCUCGAAACUACGUUUCCCAGGGGGCCCGGCGCAGAGCGGGCCGGAAAGAGAGCGCCUCCGGGUCCAGUGCGCAGGUGCAGGAGCCAUAGCUGGUUAUAUAAAGGAGGU
Molecule: long non-coding RNA, 199 nt
Filed under: Aotus nancymaae (Ma's night monkey)
Lineage: Eukaryota; Metazoa; Chordata; Mammalia; Primates; Aotidae
Description: ZNFX1 antisense RNA 1 conserved region 1 (ENSANAG00000002017.1)
Rfam family: ZNFX1 antisense RNA 1 conserved region 1
Source: RNAcentral